This 494-nucleotide ribosomal RNA is filed under the name uncultured bacterium. RNAcentral describes it as "partial 16S ribosomal RNA". It matches the Rfam family "Bacterial small subunit ribosomal RNA", at positions 28 to 507 of the family's 1533-position model. The record is from RNAcentral.
GACGAACGCUGGCGGCGUGCUUAACACAUGCAAGUCGAACGGUGAAGCGCCUUCCUUUUUGGUGGGUGUGGAUGAGUGGCGAACGGGUGAGUAACACGUGAGUAACCUGCCCCCUUCUUCUGGAUAACCGCAUGAAAGUGUGGCUAAUACGGGAUAUUCUGGGUCUGUCGCAUGAUGGGUCUGGGACAGAUAUUGUUUCGGUGGGGGAUGGGCUCGCGGCCUAUCAGCUUGUUGGUGGGGUGAUGGCCUACCAAGGCGGUGACGGGUAGCCGGCCUGAGAGGGUGGACGGUCACACUGGGACUGAGACACGGCCCAGACUCCUACGGGAGGCAGCAGUGGGGAAUAUUGCACAAUGGGCGCAAGCCUGAUGCAGCGACGCCGCGUGAGGGAUGGAGGCCUUCGGGUUGUGAACCUCCUUCGCCAGUGAAGCAGGCCUGCCUCGUUUGUGGGUGGGUUGACGGUAGCUGGAUAAGAAGCGCCGGCUAACUACGUG